GCAGCCGCGGUAAUACGGGGGAUGCAAGCGUUAUCCGGAUUUAUUGGGUUUAAAGGGUGCGUAGGCGGUCUGUUAAGUCAGCGGUGAAAUUUAGGGGCUCAACCUCUACCGUGCCGUUGAUACUGGCAGUCUGGAAUGCGGAUGCCGUGGGAGGAAUGUGUGGUGUAGCGGUGAAAUGCAUAGAUAUCACACAGAACACCGAUUGCGAAGGCAUCUCACGAAUCCGCAAUUGACGCUGAGGCACGAAAGCGUGGGGAUCAAACAGGAUUAGAUACCCC
Molecule: ribosomal RNA, 278 nt
Filed under: uncultured Rikenellaceae bacterium
Lineage: Bacteria; Pseudomonadati; Bacteroidota; Bacteroidia; Bacteroidales; Rikenellaceae
Description: partial 16S ribosomal RNA
Rfam family: Bacterial small subunit ribosomal RNA
Source: RNAcentral